Molecule: ribosomal RNA, 397 nt
Filed under: uncultured bacterium
Lineage: Bacteria
Description: bacterial SSU rRNA
Rfam family: Bacterial small subunit ribosomal RNA
Source: RNAcentral
GAUGAACGCUAGCUACAGGCUUAACACAUGCAAGUCGAGGGAAACGAUAGAGAAAGCUUGCUUUUACUAGGCGUCGACCGGCGCACGGGUGAGUAACGCGUAUCCAACCUGCCCAUCACUUGGGGAUAACCUUGCGAAAGUAAGACUAAUACCCAAUGACGUCUCUAGAAGACAUCUGAAAAGAGAUUAAAGAUUUAUCGGUGAUGGAUGGGGAUGCGUCUGAUUAGCUUGUUGGCGGGGUAACGGCCCACCAAGGCGACGAUCAGUAGGGGUUCUGAGAGGAAAGGUCCCCCACCAUUGGAACUGAGACACGGUCCAAACUCCUACGGGAGGCAGCAGUUGAGGAAUAUUGGUCAAUGGACGAGAGUCUGAACCAGCAAGUAGCGUGCAGGAUGAC